Molecule: unclassified non-coding RNA, 338 nt
Filed under: uncultured fungus
Lineage: Eukaryota; Fungi
Description: partial contains 5.8S ribosomal RNA and internal transcribed spacer 2
Rfam family: 5.8S ribosomal RNA (bases 1-133)
Source: RNAcentral
UGGCUCUGGCAUCGAUGAAGAACGCAGCGAAAUGCGAUAAGUAAUGUGAAUUGCAGAAUUCAGUGAAUCAUCGAAUCUUUGAACGCACAUUGCGCCCGUCAGUAUUCUGGCGGGCAUGCCUGUUCGAGCGUCAUUUCAACCCUCAAGCACCGCUUGGCGUUGGGGAUCGGCCACCGCCGCCUCCGGGCGGCAGGCCGGCCCCGAAAUUCAGUGGCGGUCUCGUCGUAGCUCCCUCUGCGUAGUAGCACACCUCGCACCGGGACGCGGCGCGGCCAUGCCGUUAAACCCCCACCAUCUUUCUGAAGGUUGACCUCGGAUCAGGUAGGAAUACCCGCUGA